This is a non-coding RNA of Mycobacterium sp. SP-6446, 82 nucleotides long. Lineage: Bacteria; Bacillati; Actinomycetota; Actinomycetes; Mycobacteriales; Mycobacteriaceae. The record is from Rfam.
CGUCUAUCCUGUGAACUCCCCCAGGGCCGGAAGGCAGCAAGGGUCAAUGGGCUCUGUCGGGUGCGCGGGGUCCCCUAUGUCC